Molecule: ribosomal RNA, 252 nt
Filed under: uncultured bacterium
Lineage: Bacteria
Description: partial 16S ribosomal RNA
Rfam family: Bacterial small subunit ribosomal RNA
Source: RNAcentral
UACGUAGGGUGCAAGCGUUAAUCGGAAUUACUGGGCGUAAAGCGUGCGCAGGCGGCUUUGCAAGACAGAUGUGAAAUCCCCGGGCUUAACCUGGGAACUGCAUUUGUGACUGCACGGCUGGAGUGCGGCAGAGGGGGAUGGAAUUCCGCGUGUAGCGGUGAAAUGCGUAGAUAUGCGGAGGAACACCGAUGGCGAAGGCAAUCCCCUGGGCCUGCACUGACGCUCAUGCACGAAAGCGUGGGAGCAAACAGG